Molecule: unclassified non-coding RNA, 229 nt
Filed under: plant metagenome
Description: partial contains small subunit ribosomal RNA, internal transcribed spacer 1, and 5.8S ribosomal RNA
Source: RNAcentral
UCUCCGUAGGUGAACCUGCGGAGGGAUCAUUACAGAGUUCUCGCCCGCUCGGGUAGAUCUCCCACCGACUGUUAUCGUUACUGUGUUGCUUUGGCGGGCCGCCGGGCCCCGCUCGGCCGCCGGCUCCGGCCGGCGCGCGCCCGCCAGUGGCACAGCAAACUCCGAAUGUGAGUGUCGACUGGGUACUAUAUAAUAGUUAAAACUUUCAACAGCGGAUCUCUUGGUUCUG